RNAcentral lists this unclassified non-coding RNA (334 nucleotides) under uncultured bacterium. RNAcentral's name for it is "partial contains 16S ribosomal RNA, 16S-23S ribosomal RNA intergenic spacer, and 23S ribosomal RNA". The stretch from base 204 to 334 matches the Rfam family "Bacterial large subunit ribosomal RNA", at positions 1 to 131 of the family's 2925-position model. The record is from RNAcentral.
UGCGGCUGGAUCCCCUCCUUUCUGGAGCGACGAGUAGCGGUGGCCCUCGGGCCGCCCUGAAAGUCUCUCGGAUGUCGCCCGCACUGCGCCGCCAUAGCUCACAUUGAUUCUGCUCUUUGACAACUGAAGGCUGGAUGUGGAAUUGGGAAUCCAAACCGUAGUCUGUGGCCGGCCGACGAGGCCGGUCCAGUAGAUCAAUUCGAGAUCAAACGCAAUAAGGCACACGGUGGAUGCCUUGGCAUCGAGAGGCGAUGAAGGACGUGGUAAGCUGCGAAAAGCCUGGGGGAGCUGCACACGAGCUGUGAUCUCAGGAUGUCCGAAUGGGGAAACCCGG